RNAcentral lists this ribosomal RNA (253 nucleotides) under uncultured bacterium. Its description in RNAcentral is "partial 16S ribosomal RNA". It matches the Rfam family "Bacterial small subunit ribosomal RNA", at positions 524 to 776 of the family's 1533-position model. The record is from RNAcentral.
UACGUAGGGUGCAAGCGUUAAUCGGAAUUACUGGGCGUAAAGCGUGCGCAGGCGGUUGUGUAAGACAGAUGUGAAAUCCCCGGGCUCAACCUGGGAACUGCAUUUGUGACUGCACAGCUGGAGUGCGGCAGAGGGGGAUGGGAUUCCGCGUGUAGCAGUGAAAUGCGUAGAUAUGCGGAGGAACACCGAUGGCGAAGGCAAUCCCCUGGGCCUGCACUGACGCUCAUGCACGAAAGCGUGGGGAGCAAACAGG